AACGCACCUUGCGCUCCUUGGUAUUCCUCGGAGCAUGCCUGUUUGAGUAUCAUGAAAUCCUCAAAAUAAAUCUUUUGUUCAUUCGAUUGAUUUUAUUUUGGACUUGGAGGUCUGCAGAUUCACGUCUGCUCCUCUUAAAUUCAUUAGCUGGAUCUGUAUGAACUCGGUUCCACUCGGCGUGAUAAGUAUCACUCGCUGAGGACACUGUAAAAGGUGGCCGGGAUUAUUAUGAACCGCUUCUAAUAGUCCAUUGACUUGGACAAACUACUUAUGAUCUGAUCUCAAAUCAGGUAGGACUACCCGCUGAACUUAA
This 313-nucleotide unclassified non-coding RNA is filed under the name uncultured Ceratobasidiaceae. Its description in RNAcentral is "sequence contains ITS2". The record is from RNAcentral. Lineage: Eukaryota; Fungi; Basidiomycota; Agaricomycetes; Cantharellales; Ceratobasidiaceae.